Molecule: small RNA, 34 nt
Filed under: Arabidopsis thaliana (thale cress)
Lineage: Eukaryota; Viridiplantae; Streptophyta; Magnoliopsida; Brassicales; Brassicaceae
Description: ATSL121420
Source: RNAcentral
AAAAAGAGACAACAAAACAGGAAAGAAAAGUGAA